GACGAACGCUGGCGGCGUGCCUAAUACAUGCAAGUAGAACGCACAGUUUAUACCGUAGCUUGCUACACCAUAGACUGUGAGUUGCGAACGGGUGAGUAACGCGUAGGUAACCUGCCUGGUAGCGGGGGAUAACUAUUGGAAACGAUAGCUAAUACCGCAUAAUAUUAAUUAUUGCAUGAUAAUUAAUUGAAAGGUGCAAUUGCACCACUACCAGAUGGACCUGCGUUGUAUUAGCUAGUAGGUGAGGUAACGGCUCACCUAGGCGACGAUACAUAGCCGACCUUGGAAGGGUGUCGGGCACACUGGGACCUGAGAACGGGCCCAGCCUCUACGGGGAGCAGCAGUAGGGGAACUUUGGGAAAUGACGGAAGGCUUGACGGAGAAAGCCGGGGGGAGGAAGGAGGUUUUCGGAUCGUAAAGCUCUGUUGUAAGAGAAGAACGGGUGUGAGAGUGGAAAGUUCACACUGUGACGGUAUCUUACCAGAAAGGGACGGCUAACUACGUG
This 505-nucleotide ribosomal RNA is filed under the name uncultured bacterium. RNAcentral's name for it is "partial 16S ribosomal RNA". It matches the Rfam family "Bacterial small subunit ribosomal RNA", at positions 28 to 507 of the family's 1533-position model. The record is from RNAcentral.